AUGGCCUCCUCCGCCUUGUCCGGCACCCACCAUCGCCUCCUUCUCCCCUGUUUCCUGCGCCGCCUCCCCCGACCCCGCUCGCGCUCGUGCUCCCGCCUCCGCCUCGCCGCCUGCCACGCCGACACCCUCCUUUCCUCCUCCGGGGCCCAGGGGCCGCCCUCCCCCGCCGCGUGCUCGUCGGCAUCCUCCGCUGGCGGGUUCUCUGACUGGCUACUCACGAAUGGGCUGCCGCCGGGCAAGGUGGCCAUCCUGGAGCGCCCCGUCCCGUGCUCUCGCGGGGGCAAAGACCGGCCAUUACACUUCGUCGCUGCUGGGCAGGACCUCGAGGCGGGGGAUGUGGCGUUCGAGGUGCCCAUGUCGCUCGUUGUCACACUGGAGCGGGUUCUCGGCGACGAGUCGGUCGCUGAAUUGUUAACAACAAACAAAUUGUCUGAGCUGGCAUGCUUGGCAUUGUAUCUGAUGUAUGAGAAGAAGCAAGGAAGAGAUUCACUUUGGUACCCGUAUAUUAAAGAACUUGAUCGUCAGCGAGGCAGGGGGCAACUAGCUGUUGAAUCACCUCUUUUAUGGAUUGAAAGUGAACUGGAUUACCUGAAUGGCAGCCCCAUGAGGGAUGAAGUUGUUGUUAGAGAUGAGGGAAUAAGAAGAGAGUAUAAUGAGCUUGACACAUUGUGGUUCAUGGCAGGUUCAUUGUUUAAGCAAUACCCUUUUGAUGUACCUACUGAGGCGUUUCCGUUUGAGAUCUUCAAGCAGGCAUUUGUUGCAGUACAGUCUUGUGUGGUUCAUUUGCAGAAGGUUAGUUUAGCUCGAAGAUUUGCACUAGUUCCCUUGGGCCCACCACUGUUGACGUACAAGAGCAACUGCAAAGCAAUGCUGACUGCUGUUGAUGGUUCUGUUCGGUUGCUGGUCGAUCGGCCGUACAAAGCAGGAGAACCAAUAAUUGUUUGGUGUGGGCCUCAACCAAACUCCAGGUUGCUUCUCAAUUAUGGUUUUGUUGAUGAAGACAAUCCAUAUGAUCGCAUAGCAAUCGAGGCAUCCCUAAACACUGAAGAUCCUCAAUACCAAGAGAAGAGAAUGGUCGCUCAAAGAAAUGGAAAGCUUGCUAUCCAAAAAUUCCAAGUCUGUGUAGGCAAAGAGAAGGAAACUAUUUCUGAAAUGCUGCCAUACUUGAGACUAGGAUACAUUUCAGAUCCAGAUGAAAUGCAAUGUAUACUUUCGUCAGAAGGUGAUACAUGUCCAGUUAGUCCAUGCUCAGAGCGAGCUGUACUUGACCAACUUGUUGUCUACCUGAAAUCAAGAUUGGCUGGUUAUCCGACUACUUUGGACGAGGAUGAAGCAAUGUUGGCCGAGGGCAGUUUGGAGCCAAAGAAAGAAGUUGCCACUAGACUUGUAAGGUUAGAGAAGAAAAUGCUGCAUGGCUGUCUUCAGGCUGCUAACGAGUUCAUAAGUGGCUUGCCUGAUCAUACCGUAUCACCUUGCCCUGCUCUAUAUGCUCCUGAAUUGAAAUAA
RNAcentral lists this ribosomal RNA (1506 nucleotides) under Triticum aestivum (bread wheat). Its description in RNAcentral is "partial small subunit ribosomal RNA". Lineage: Eukaryota; Viridiplantae; Streptophyta; Magnoliopsida; Poales; Poaceae. The record is from RNAcentral.